This 507-nucleotide ribosomal RNA is filed under the name uncultured bacterium. RNAcentral describes it as "partial 16S ribosomal RNA". It matches the Rfam family "Bacterial small subunit ribosomal RNA", at positions 28 to 507 of the family's 1533-position model. The record is from RNAcentral.
GACGAACGCUGGCGGCGUGCUUAACGCAUGCAAGUCGAACGGGCCUUGUCCCCUUUUUUUUGGGGGUGGGGUUAGUGGCGAACGGGUGAGUAACACGUGAGUAACCUGCCCCUCACUUCUGGAUAACCGCUUGAAAGGGUGGCUAAUACGGGGUGUUCUGGCCUGCUCGCAUGGGUGGGUUUGGAAAGAUUCGACCGGUUUUGGUUGUUUUGGUGGGGGAUGGGCUCGCGGCCUAUCAGCUUGUUGGUGGGGUGAUGGCCUGCCAAGGCUUUGACGGGUAGCCGGCCUGAGAGGGUGGGCGGUCACACUGGGACUGAGACACGGCCCAGACUCCUACGGGAGGCAGCAGUGGGGAAUAUUGCACAAUGGGCGCAAGCCUGAUGCAGCGACGCCGCGUGAGGGAUGGAGGCCUUCGGGUUGUGAACCUCUUUCGCCAGUGAAGAAGGUCCUGCUCUUUGUGGUGGGGUUGACGGUAGCUGGGUUAAUGAAGCGCCGGCUAACUACGUG